GUGCGUUAGCGAUUGAUGCGGUAUCCUUUUUUUGAGGUACGAGAAAAAAGAUAUAGCGGAAAGCGCGACCCCUU
This 74-nucleotide small RNA is filed under the name Seonamhaeicola sp. S2-3. RNAcentral's name for it is "Flavo-1 RNA". The stretch from base 9 to 74 matches the Rfam family "Flavo-1 RNA", at positions 9 to 76 of the family's 76-position model. The record is from Rfam by way of RNAcentral. Lineage: Bacteria; Pseudomonadati; Bacteroidota; Flavobacteriia; Flavobacteriales; Flavobacteriaceae.